This 476-nucleotide ribosomal RNA is filed under the name uncultured Methylibium sp. RNAcentral's name for it is "bacterial SSU rRNA". It matches the Rfam family "Bacterial small subunit ribosomal RNA", at positions 90 to 562 of the family's 1533-position model. Lineage: Bacteria; Pseudomonadati; Pseudomonadota; Betaproteobacteria; Burkholderiales; Sphaerotilaceae. The record is from RNAcentral.
GGCGAGUGGCGAACGGGUGAGUAAUACAUCGGAACGUGCCCAGUAGUGGGGGAUAGCCCGGCGAAAGCCGGAUUAAUACCGCAUACGACCUGAGGGUGAAAGCGGGGGAUCGCAAGACCUCGCGCUAUUGGAGCGGCCGAUGUCGGAUUAGCUAGUUGGUGGGGUAAAGGCCUACCAAGGCUACGAUCCGUAGCUGGUCUGAGAGGACGACCAGCCACACUGGGACUGAGACACGGCCCAGACUCCUACGGGAGGCAGCAGUGGGGAAUUUUGGACAAUGGGCGCAAGCCUGAUCCAGCCAUGCCGCGUGCGGGAAGAAGGCCUUCGGGUUGUAAACCGCUUUUGUCAGGGAAGAAAUGUUCUGGGUUAAUACCUCGGAGCGAUGACGGUACCUGAAGAAUAAGCACCGGCUAACUACGUGCCAGCAGCCGCGGUAAUACGUAGGGUGCAAGCGUUAAUCGGAAUUACUGGGCGUA